CCACGUGGCAAUCUUGGCCUACUAAACUUUUAUUUUACUGGAAUUCCAUCACAACAGUUUUUCUCCCGCAGUUCCAAAUCCGUAUAUGAUCUUCGGAGGAUUCACCUGCAGGGAAAUAGUUAAUAGAUCGUCUUGGCAGUUCUUGGACCGUACUCCAGGAAACAGGUCACAACUCCACGUACAGUGGAUCUAACGAUGGAUUGUGUGUUUUCUUCAUAGAUCCAUCUGCUGUCACUUCCCGCAAUUGGAAGAUCUAUUUGGGAUUGCUCUAGUUUUCUCCCGGAAUAGGUACCAGCAAAACAAUCAUCGGAUUUGUUGGCUGAGCGUUAAAACAGCAAAUAUGAAGCCUCCUGUCAUGUUAUGUUAAAACUGUAGAUUAUGCUAGCUUUAGUGUACCUAGCUUUAGUGUAUAAUCUUAAUUUUAUUAGUGACAGGAGGCGAGUAUUUCCCACCCAUUCUUAUCCCCCCCCCUUGUUUAAUUUUAAUAGUUUGGGUUUGUCAGGUACGUAUGCAACUCUGCUUGUUGUCUC
Pelobates cultripes (western spadefoot toad) is the source of this 530-nucleotide non-coding RNA. The record is from the annotation of a GenBank genome assembly. Lineage: Eukaryota; Metazoa; Chordata; Amphibia; Anura; Pelobatidae.